UACGAAGGGGGCUAGCGUUGCUCGGAAUCACUGGGCGUAAAGGGUGCGUAGGCGGGUCUUUAAGUCAGGGGUGAAAUCCUGGAGCUCAACUCCAGAACUGCCUUUGAUACUGAAGAUCUUGAGUUCGGGAGAGGUGAGUGGAACUGCGAGUGUAGAGGUGAAAUUCGUAGAUAUUCGCAAGAACACCGGUGGCGAAGGCGCCGCUCUGGGCCGAAACUGACGCUGAGGAGCGAAAGCAUGGGUAGCAAACAGG
Molecule: ribosomal RNA, 253 nt
Filed under: uncultured bacterium
Lineage: Bacteria
Description: partial 16S ribosomal RNA
Rfam family: Bacterial small subunit ribosomal RNA
Source: RNAcentral